This 582-nucleotide ribosomal RNA is filed under the name uncultured bacterium. Its description in RNAcentral is "bacterial SSU rRNA". It matches the Rfam family "Bacterial small subunit ribosomal RNA", at positions 23 to 587 of the family's 1533-position model. The record is from RNAcentral.
CUCAGGAUGAACGCUAGCGACAGGCUUAACACAUGCAAGUCGAGGGGCAGCGGGGCGGCAGGCUUGCCUGCCGCCGCCGGCGACCGGCGCACGGGUGAGUAACACGUAUGCAACCUGCCCGUGGCAGGGGGAUAAGCGGGGGAAACCCCGUCUAAUACCGCGUAACGCGGCCUAGGGACAUCCCAAGGCCGCCAAAGGGAGCAAUCCCGGCCACGGAUGGGCAUGCGGCGCAUUAGCUAGUCGGCGGGGUAACGGCCCACCGAGGCGACGAUGCGUAGGGGUUCUGAGAGGAAGGCCCCCCACACUGGUACUGAGACACGGACCAGACUCCUACGGGAGGCAGCAGUGAGGAAUAUUGGUCAAUGGGCGCGAGCCUGAACCAGCCAAGUCGCGUGAGGGAAUAAGGCCCUAUGGGUCGUAAACCUCUUUUGUCAGGGAGCAAAGGCGUCCACGAGUGGACGAAAGGAGAGUACCUGAAGAAAAAGCAUCGGCUAACUCCGUGCCAGCAGCCGCGGUAAUACGGAGGAUGCGAGCGUUAUCCGGAUUUAUUGGGUUUAAAGGGUGCGUAGGCGGAGUGUCAAG